Molecule: ribosomal RNA, 480 nt
Filed under: Triticum aestivum (bread wheat)
Lineage: Eukaryota; Viridiplantae; Streptophyta; Magnoliopsida; Poales; Poaceae
Description: partial small subunit ribosomal RNA
Source: RNAcentral
GGGAUCGUGGAGGCCAUCCAUGGCACCCCGGCCAGGUGCCGGUCAUCCACGACCUUCCCCAUAGUCUACAAGACCCUGGCGCCCCUCCCCCAAACCCUAAUCCCCUCCCUAGCUGCCCCUAGAUCCGUUUCCCCUCUCCCUCACUCGUCCUCUUCUCCACAGCGAUCGCAGUCACAGCUGUUGCCACGGCUUUGCCGUCCUCAUGGCCGUCGUCGUCCCCGCGUUGAGCUAGGACGUCCUGGGGCUUCACCACCAUCGCCUCCUUUGUCUACGCUAUUGGGUUGGACCGGGGAGGCCUCGUAUGCCCGCCAUCACCGUCGUCCCCGUCGCGUACAUCUCCGGGCGUCAUCGUCGAUUCCGACCGCUCCAGUCCACCCCCGGCCUCCUCGACCGCGCCCCCGAGCUCACUACCCCGAGACGGCUGCCGAUGCCACUAUGUUCGACUACGUCACCGACGACCCUCCUUGUCUGAGCAACCAG